Capsicum annuum is the source of this 2074-nucleotide long non-coding RNA. RefSeq lists it as uncharacterized. NCBI's taxonomy places the organism in Eukaryota, Viridiplantae, Streptophyta, Magnoliopsida, Solanales, Solanaceae. The record is from RefSeq and is a predicted model, not a curated record. The transcript is spliced from 2 exons.
AGGAUAGAUGGGAAGAUGUGGGCUUUUUUGUAACUAUUUCAUUAAAAAUUAUGUGUCAUUAAUUUAUUGGAUACUUAGUAAUGUAUUUUGAUCUUUAUUUUUAUUUUUUAAAAAUUUGUUAGUAUAAAUAAUAACACCUUUAAAAUGAGUUGAUACGAAUUAAUUAGUCACUUAAUUCAUACCGGAACCUCAUGUAAUUCACGCAUCAAAGUUGAUAUUGAAUUGUGUUAAAGUGAUACAAUUUAUAAUUACUUGGUAAUAUUCACUUGAGAUAUUAAAGUAAAAAUCGUGUUAAGUUUAUGCGCAACAAUGGUUUGGCCGAAAUAUGCGUGAUAUCCCUCUUCCAAGGACCCUUUGUCUCUUCCAAUUACCCAGAACAACAACAAUGGGCGACCCUCUCUCCUCCUCUCUCCCUCAUCCCUCCCUUCCACCACCCACCAAAACAGAAAACCCAACCUCCCUCUAUAUGAUUAUUAUUUGUUUGAUUUUGACUACCCAAGGAAUUCCGAGAAAACAGUCGCGGUUUAGUGAAAACCGGUCAUUAAUGGCUUUGAAAAGGCCGAUUGGGAGGAGAUCUCGAUUUGAAAAUUCAAAAUCUUCCCUCUUCUUCCCGUUUUUUUAUUUUAAGAUUUCAAAUCCGGACUUUCACGUCCGGAUCUGUGCCUAUAAAUGGGGAGAGGCGUUGUUUUGCUUGAGCAGAAGUUGGAUGAGCGAAGAACAAGGUUUUUAGAGAAGGAAAAAGGAGGUUUUUGAGAUUAAAAAAGGGGGGGUUGAAAUUAGAGUGAAAACAAGGAAAAAAAGAAGAAGAAGUAGAAUUCGAGAGAAAACUCGAAAGGAGAGGAACUCGGUAUAGAGGGGUCUUGAAAUCGCAGGUUUUCUUUCAGUUUUUCGAGGUAUACUCGGUGUCUUGUGUUUGGGACUGUUGACCGCCCGAAAUCCUUGACGUUGAGCCCGAGUUUGCUGCACCAGAAAAGUAUGAUCAGACGGUGAGCUAAAUCGCUGUAGAUAGGCCGGAGAAUCGCCAGAAUAGAAGCGAUAAAGUGGUGCCUGGCGGUGAUUUUGGGUCUAUGUUACACCGGAAAAGGUUGCUCAGGUCAGAUCUGUAACGAAGGCGGAAGCGAUGCCUAGUACUGUUGAAUACAUCUCGAUAAAUAUCCAAAUCAUAAAGAAUUAUGAUGUAAAUAUGAAAUGUAAAAUUUUAAGAAUCAAACGUUAAUCAAACUUGUAAGAUAUGUUAAUUAAUUAAUAAGGUAUAUAUGUGUGUGUGUGCGCGAUAAGGGUAUUUUUGUCAUAAAAAUGUAAUUUUCUGCUUUUUUCUUUUCAGAAGCAGAAAUUUUCUACUUCAUCCCAGAAGCAGCUUAUUUUUAAAAAUAUUUUUACAAGUUUAUCAAACACUCUUAUUUUAAAAGAAAAUAUUUUUUCUCAAAAUAAGUGCUUAUUUUGGAAAAUAAACAAUCCCAAACAGGCUAUUAGUUUGGAUAAGAAUAGCUUAUCUUUGGUAUGUGUGUAUUGGGCAAAUUACAUAUAAAGGGAAAUUGACGUCAUUAUCUCGACAAACUCGACUAAAUAGAUUGUGAUUAGCCUUGUGUGUUCAACAUGUUAUUUACCUAAACUUUUGUACCUUAAAUUUAGCAAAAUUUAGAGACUUAUCAUCACUUAAGUAGUGGACCAUAUACCAUAACCAUGGAAAAUUCAUUUAUUUAUUUAUUUGUUUACUUAUUUUUGUGUUAUGUCUCAAUAUGCGGAUUUGUUUAUCAAUUAUUAAUCCUUAUUUGUUUUUUUCACAUGUUAACACGGGAAUUGGAGUUCCACAAUGAAACUCAUUUUAAUCCAAGCAUCGGAUCAAUCGCUACUUGGAUUACAAGAGCCCCGAAAUUGCAAAAUUAGAAGUUCAAGUUUUGAAACGGAGUCUAGUACCCCUUCGUCAUUUUCCUUAAAUUUAUUAUAAAUUUAUUAUCAUAUUUUGAUCUGCUUUAGAAUGAUAAUUACCUCUACUUUGUUAUUAAGUUUGUUUGAGAUAACUUUAUUUAUCACUUUAUAAUUGCUCUAUUAUGUGUCGAUCUCUUAAAUAGUA